This 253-nucleotide ribosomal RNA is filed under the name uncultured bacterium. RNAcentral describes it as "partial 16S ribosomal RNA". It matches the Rfam family "Bacterial small subunit ribosomal RNA", at positions 524 to 776 of the family's 1533-position model. The record is from RNAcentral.
UACAGAGGUCUCAAGCGUUGUUCGGAUUCAUUGGGCGUAAAGGGUGCGUAGGCGGCGCGGUAAGUCGGGUGUGAAAUCUCGGAGCUUAACUCCGAAACUGCAUUCGAUACUGCCGUGCUUGAGGACUGGAGAGGAGAGUGGAAUUCCCAGUGUAGAGGUGAAAUUCGUAGAUAUUGGGAAGAACACCGAUGGCGAAGGCAGCUCUCUGGACCGUUACUGACGCUGAGGCGCGAAAGCGUGGGGAGCAAACAGG